This 253-nucleotide ribosomal RNA is filed under the name uncultured bacterium. RNAcentral describes it as "partial 16S ribosomal RNA". It matches the Rfam family "Bacterial small subunit ribosomal RNA", at positions 524 to 776 of the family's 1533-position model. The record is from RNAcentral. RNAcentral also lists the same sequence under 1 other name.
UACAUGUGGGGCAAGCGUUGUUCGGAAUUACUGGGCAUAAAGGGUGCGUAGGUGGUUUGCUAAGUCAGGGGUGAAAUCCCGCGGCCCAACCGUGGAACUGCCUUUGAUACUGGCGAACUUGAGUGCGUGAGGGGUAACCGGAACGAGCAGUGUAGCGGUGAAAUGCGUAGAUAUUGCUCGGAAGGCCAGAGGCGAAGGCGGGUUACUGGUACGCAACUGACACUGAGGCACGAAAGCGUGGGGAGCAAACAGG